GAAAUUCACAUCAUUUUUAAUCAUGAUCUUCUCAUCAGCUCUAUUACUGCUGGCAGCAGCUGCAUCAUGUGGUGUUUUCUGUGUUGAGCUCACUCAACCUUCAUCUAUGGUUGUGAAACCUCAAGAAUCAUUCUCCAUCUCCUGCAGGAUUUCAGAAUCAAGCUACUGCAUUCACUGGAUCCGUCAACCCACUGGAAAAGCACUGGAAUGGCUUGGAUAUCUUUGUAAUGGUGGUGGCACUAACAUUAAAGACUCCGUGAAAAACAAGAUCAGUUUCACCCAGGACACGUCCAAAAACACAGUGUUUCUACAGGGGAAGAAUUUUCAGACUGAGGACACAGCUGUGUUUUACUGUGCCAGAGAGUCACAGUAAAUAAACAAGCCACAGCUCUGUACAAAAACCUGAACACAUGCAAGAAUCAGAUAUAGAUAACACCAGGGGCAUUUCUAGACUUUCAUCAGCAUCCAACACCAGUCCCCAUAUAAAUAUUCUUACAGUCAUUUACAAGCUGUGCCAGUAUACAGUAAUCAUUAACACAUAAGGAU
This is a non-coding RNA of Carassius auratus (goldfish), 546 nucleotides long. NCBI's taxonomy places the organism in Eukaryota, Metazoa, Chordata, Actinopteri, Cypriniformes, Cyprinidae. The record is from the annotation of a RefSeq genome assembly.